CAGUUUCUUGAGACUUUUUAUCUUUGUACUGUGUUUGGUGUGUUAGUGCUGAGCAGGUAGUUGAAUGUUAGAGAUUUGUUCAAUGGACUAGUUAUCCACUGCUAUUGUACUUUCUUGACCUCUUGUUAAAAAAUAAAAAGAAAUAAUAUACAAUUGGUAUGUCUUCUAAAUAAAGUAAAAUAGAAAGAUUCAGGAGGUCGAGAAUUGUGAGUCGAGUUGGUAAGAGUGUUGGAUUCUCAAAGGAAAACAUUGAGAGGACGUCGAUUUCUUGUGGGAAAGAGUGCAUUGUUGAGUGUGGGAUUCUUGUUUUAUAAGUUUAGUGAAAUAAAUUUUUCCUCAUUUAUGCGCCCUUUUUUGGGGUAGGGGGUGGGCUGCAGUUUCUUGGGACUUUUUAUCUUUGUACUGUGUUUGGUGUGUUAGUGCUGAGCAGGUAGUUGAAUGUUAGAGAUUUGUUCAAUGGACUAGUUAUCCACUGCUAUUGUACUUUCUUGACCUCUUGUUAAAAAAUAAAAAGAAAUAAUAUACAAUUGGUAUGUCUUCUAAAUAAAGUAAAAUAGAAAGAUUAAGGAGGUCG
RNAcentral lists this long non-coding RNA (574 nucleotides) under Prunus persica (peach). Its description in RNAcentral is "long non-coding RNA (PPER_LNC005783)". Lineage: Eukaryota; Viridiplantae; Streptophyta; Magnoliopsida; Rosales; Rosaceae. The record is from RNAcentral.